Molecule: ribosomal RNA, 1541 nt
Filed under: Escherichia coli
Lineage: Bacteria; Pseudomonadati; Pseudomonadota; Gammaproteobacteria; Enterobacterales; Enterobacteriaceae
Also listed under: 1 other name
Description: bacterial SSU rRNA
Rfam family: Bacterial small subunit ribosomal RNA
Source: RNAcentral
AAAUUGAAGAGUUUGAUCAUGGCUCAGAUUGAACGCUGGCGGCAGGCCUAACACAUGCAAGUCGAACGGUAACAGGAAGCAGCUUGCUGCUUUGCUGACGAGUGGCGGACGGGUGAGUAAUGUCUGGGAAACUGCCUGAUGGAGGGGGAUAACUACUGGAAACGGUAGCUAAUACCGCAUAACGUCGCAAGACCAAAGAGGGGGACCUUAGGGCCUCUUGCCAUCGGAUGUGCCCAGAUGGGAUUAGCUAGUAGGUGGGGUAAAGGCUCACCUAGGCGACGAUCCCUAGCUGGUCUGAGAGGAUGACCAGCCACACUGGAACUGAGACACGGUCCAGACUCCUACGGGAGGCAGCAGUGGGGAAUAUUGCACAAUGGGCGCAAGCCUGAUGCAGCCAUGCCGCGUGUAUGAAGAAGGCCUUCGGGUUGUAAAGUACUUUCAGCGGGGAGGAAGGGAGUAAAGUUAAUACCUUUGCUCAUUGACGUUACCCGCAGAAGAAGCACCGGCUAACUCCGUGCCAGCAGCCGCGGUAAUACGGAGGGUGCAAGCGUUAAUCGGAAUUACUGGGCGUAAAGCGCACGCAGGCGGUUUGUUAAGUCAGAUGUGAAAUCCCCGGGCUCAACCUGGGAACUGCAUCUGAUACUGGCAAGCUUGAGUCUCGUAGAGGGGGGUAGAAUUCCAGGUGUAGCGGUGAAAUGCGUAGAGAUCUGGAGGAAUACCGGUGGCGAAGGCGGCCCCCUGGACGAAGACUGACGCUCAGGUGCGAAAGCGUGGGGAGCAAACAGGAUUAGAUACCCUGGUAGUCCACGCCGUAAACGAUGUCGACUUGGAGGUUGUGCCCUUGAGGCGUGGCUUCCGGAGCUAACGCGUUAAGUCGACCGCCUGGGGAGUACGGCCGCAAGGUUAAAACUCAAAUGAAUUGACGGGGGCCCGCACAAGCGGUGGAGCAUGUGGUUUAAUUCGAUGCAACGCGAAGAACCUUACCUGGUCUUGACAUCCACGGAAGUUUUCAGAGAUGAGAAUGUGCCUUCGGGAACCGUGAGACAGGUGCUGCAUGGCUGUCGUCAGCUCGUGUUGUGAAAUGUUGGGUUAAGUCCCGCAACGAGCGCAACCCUUAUCCUUUGUUGCCAGCGGUCCGGCCGGGAACUCAAAGGAGACUGCCAGUGAUAAACUGGAGGAAGGUGGGGAUGACGUCAAGUCAUCAUGGCCCUUACGACCAGGGCUACACACGUGCUACAAUGGCGCAUACAAAGAGAAGCGACCUCGCGAGAGCAAGCGGACCUCAUAAAGUGCGUCGUAGUCCGGAUUGGAGUCUGCAACUCGACUCCAUGAAGUCGGAAUCGCUAGUAAUCGUGGAUCAGAAUGCCACGGUGAAUACGUUCCCGGGCCUUGUACACACCGCCCGUCACACCAUGGGAGUGGGUUGCAAAAGAAGUAGGUAGCUUAACCUUCGGGAGGGCGCUUACCACUUUGUGAUUCAUGACUGGGGUGAAGUCGUAACAAGGUAACCGUAGGGGAACCUGCGGUUGGAUCACCUCCUU